AUAUGCCUUUUGGUGGGGGACAACAGUUGGAAACGACUGCUAAUACCGCAUGAUGUCUACGGACCAAAGUGGGGGACCUUCGGGCCUCACGCCAAAAGAUUAGCCCAAGUGGGAUUAGCUAGUUGGUGAGGUAAUGGCUCACCAAGGCGACGAUCCCUAGCUGGUUUGAGAGGAUGAUCAGCCACACUGGGACUGAGACACGGCCCAGACUCCUACGGGAGGCAGCAGUGGGGAAUAUUGCACAAUGGGCGCAAGCCUGAUGCAGCCAUGCCGCGUGUGUGAAGAAGGCCUUCGGGUUGUAAAGCACUUUCAGUAAGGAGGAAAGGUUAAGUUUUAAUAGAGCUUAGCUGUGACGUUACUUACAGAAGAAGGACCGGCUAACUCCGUGCCAGCAGCCGCGGUAAUACGGAGGGUCCGAGCGUUAAUCGGAAUUACUGGGCGUAAAGCGUGCGUAGGCGGUUGAUUAAGUCAGAUGUGAAAUCCCGGGGCUCAACCUCGGAACUGCAUUUGAAACUGGUCAACUAGAGUAUUGUAGAGGGUGGUGGAAUUUCCCAGUGUAGCGGUGAAAUGCGUAGAGAUUGGAAGGAACAUCAGUGGCGAAGGCGGCCACCUGGACAAAUACUGACGCUGAGGCACGAAAGCGUGGGAGCGACAG
RNAcentral lists this ribosomal RNA (655 nucleotides) under uncultured bacterium. Its description in RNAcentral is "bacterial SSU rRNA". It matches the Rfam family "Bacterial small subunit ribosomal RNA", at positions 124 to 774 of the family's 1533-position model. The record is from RNAcentral.